UUUCCGUAGGUGAACCUGCGGAAGGAUCAUUCAUAAUUGAGUGUCUUAUGGCACUCUUUCAAAAAAUCCAUAUCCACCUUGUGUGCAACGUUUUUAGACACCCUGGCAUUGAUAUCUCUUUUAGGGAAGGAAAGCCAUGAUGUUUGAUUAACUUAACUCAACUCCUUUAAAACAGUUUGUCUGAAUACCUAUUUCUGAAUAAACAUAAUUCAAAAAUACAACUUUCAACAACGGAUCUCUUGGCUCUC
This 248-nucleotide unclassified non-coding RNA is filed under the name plant metagenome. Its description in RNAcentral is "partial contains small subunit ribosomal RNA, internal transcribed spacer 1, and 5.8S ribosomal RNA". The record is from RNAcentral.